This 309-nucleotide ribosomal RNA is filed under the name Myxococcales bacterium. RNAcentral's name for it is "bacterial SSU rRNA". It matches the Rfam family "Bacterial small subunit ribosomal RNA", at positions 1 to 293 of the family's 1533-position model. The record is from RNAcentral. Lineage: Bacteria; Pseudomonadati; Myxococcota; Myxococcia; Myxococcales.
GAACUGGAGAGUUUGAUCCUGGCUCAGAACGAACGCUGGCGGCGUGCCUAAGACAUGCAAGUCGUACGGUAAGGCCCCCUUCGGGGGGCACACGAGUGGCGCACGGGUGAGUAACGCGUGGGUAAUCUGCCUUCGGGUUUGGGACAACCCCGGGAAACUGGGGCUAAUACCGGAUAAGACCACAACGUCUCUGGACGAUGCGGCAAAAGGUGGCCUCUGCUUGCAAGCUACCGCCUGGAGAUGAGCCUGCGUCCCAUUAGCUUGUUGGUGAGGUAACGGCUCACCAAGGCGAUGAUGGGUAGCUGGUCU